This is a long non-coding RNA of Polyodon spathula (Mississippi paddlefish), 403 nucleotides long. RefSeq lists it as uncharacterized. The record is from RefSeq and is a predicted model, not a curated record. NCBI's taxonomy places the organism in Eukaryota, Metazoa, Chordata, Actinopteri, Acipenseriformes, Polyodontidae. The transcript has 3 exons.
GUGAAUUAUUAAUAAUAAAUUCCACAUUCUUUGAAGAGAGAUUAAACAUUACGUUACAUUGAAAAAUGUUGCUGCAAAAGGAACAUCAGCAACCCUUGAUGUCUUAUGUAGUGCAGCAGCAUCUUUAGAAGAGGCUGCUUCCCUGCUACCACAGGCAUGCCGUCCUCCCUCAAGCAUCUUUAGAAGAGGCUGCUUCCCUGCUACCACAGGCAUGCUUCUUCCCUCCAGCAUCUUUAGAAGAGGCUGCUUCCCUGCUACCAAAGGAAACCCUCAGGAUUGCAGUGGUGCACAUUCAACUUCAACAAAGCCACCCAUGGACUGGAAUUCCCAAUGCUUAAUGUCUAUACCUCUAUUGCUGAACAGUGUGUAUCUGCAUAGAUACAAAAACUUAUUUAAUAAUUAU